This 425-nucleotide ribosomal RNA is filed under the name uncultured bacterium. RNAcentral describes it as "partial 16S ribosomal RNA". It matches the Rfam family "Bacterial small subunit ribosomal RNA", at positions 354 to 796 of the family's 1533-position model. The record is from RNAcentral.
GUGGGGAAUCUUCCGCAAUGGACGAAAGUCUGACGGAGCAACGCCGCGUGAAGGAAGAAGGUCUUCGGAUCGUAAACUUCUAUCCUUGGUGAAGAUAAUGACGGUAGCCGAGAAGGAAGCCCCGGCUAACUACGUGCCAGCAGCCGCGGUAAUACGUAGGGGGCAAGCGUUGUCCGGAAUGAUUGGGCGUAAAGGGCGCGUAGGCGGCCUGGUAAGUCUGGAGUGAAAGUCCUGCUUUUAAGGUGGGAAUUGCUUUGGAUACUGUCGGGCUUGAGUGCAGGAGAGGUAAGUGGAAUUCCCGGUGUAGCGGUGAAAUGCGUAGAGAUCGGGAGGAACACCAGUGGCGAAGGCGACUUACUGGACUGUAACUGACGCUGAGGCGCGAAAGUGUGGGGAGCAAACAGGAUUAGAAACCCUAGUAGUCC